This 253-nucleotide ribosomal RNA is filed under the name uncultured bacterium. RNAcentral describes it as "partial 16S ribosomal RNA". It matches the Rfam family "Bacterial small subunit ribosomal RNA", at positions 524 to 776 of the family's 1533-position model. The record is from RNAcentral.
GACAGAGGUGCCAAGCGUUAGGCGGAAUCACUGGGCUUAAAGCGUGUGUAGGCGGACUUGUAAGUACCUUGUGAAAUCCCACGGCUCAACCGUGGAACUGCUCGGUAUACUGCUUGUCUUGAGCCACUUAGGGGCUGUCGGAACAAACGGUGGAGCGGUGAAAUGCGUAGAUAUCAGGAAGAACACCAAUGGCGAAGGCAGCUCUCUGGGACGGUACUGACGCUGAGACGCGAAAGCGUGGGGAGCGAACAGG